Molecule: non-coding RNA, 24 nt
Filed under: Arabidopsis thaliana (thale cress)
Lineage: Eukaryota; Viridiplantae; Streptophyta; Magnoliopsida; Brassicales; Brassicaceae
Source: RNAcentral
UCGGAGCCACUUGUGUUUGAACCA